This 132-nucleotide small RNA is filed under the name Escherichia coli. RNAcentral describes it as "RtT sRNA". It matches the Rfam family "RtT RNA". From Rfam's summary of the family: This family represents a bacterial cis-regulatory element known as RtT RNA. The record is from RNAcentral. Lineage: Bacteria; Pseudomonadati; Pseudomonadota; Gammaproteobacteria; Enterobacterales; Enterobacteriaceae.
AUUCUGCCCAAGCGGGGAAGGAUGAGAAGCUUCGACCAAGGUUCGACUUGAGCGCCAGCGAGAGAGCGUUGCCGCAGGCAACGACCCGAAGGACGAAGCGCGCAGCGCUGAGUAAUCCUUCCCCCACCACCA